UUCGCAAUGCCCGAAAGGGUGACGAAGCGACGCCGCGUGGGUGAGGAAGGCCUUCGGGUUGUAAAGCCCUGUCAGGAGUUAAGAAAUGUAAGUGCGCUAAUAUCGCAUUUAUUCGACGAAGGCUCCAAAGGAAGCCACGGCUAACUCUGUGCCAGCAGCCGCGGUAAUACAGAGGUGGCAAGCGUUGUUCGGAAUUAUUGGGCGUAAAGAGCACGUAGGUGGAUUUGUAAGUCAGAUGUGAAAGCCUUCUGUUCAACGGAAGAAUUGCAUCUGAAACUGCGAGUCUUGAGUGUAGGAGGGGAGAAUGGAACUUCUGGUGGAGCGGUGGAAUGCGUAGAUAUCAGAAGGAACGCCGGCGGCGAAAGCGAUUCUCUGGCCUAUUACUGACACUCAGUGUGCGAAAGCUAGGGGAGCAAACGGGAUUAGAUACCCCGGUAGUCCUAGCCGUAAACGAUGGGCACUAAGUAGAGGGGUUUU
RNAcentral lists this ribosomal RNA (477 nucleotides) under Candidatus Scalindua brodae. Its description in RNAcentral is "bacterial SSU rRNA". It matches the Rfam family "Bacterial small subunit ribosomal RNA", at positions 365 to 832 of the family's 1533-position model. The record is from RNAcentral. Lineage: Bacteria; Pseudomonadati; Planctomycetota; Candidatus Brocadiia; Candidatus Brocadiales; Candidatus Scalinduaceae.